AAAUUGAAGAGUUUGAUCAUGGCUCAGAUUGAACGCUGGCGGCAGGCCUAACACAUGCAAGUCGAGCGGUAACACAGAGAGCUUGCUCUCGGGUGACGAGCGGCGGACGGGUGAGUAAUGUCUGGGAAACUGCCUGAUGGAGGGGGAUAACUACUGGAAACGGUAGCUAAUACCGCAUAACGUCGCAAGACCAAAGUGGGGGACCUUCGGGCCUCAUGCCAUCAGAUGUGCCCAGAUGGGAUUAGCUAGUAGGUGGGGUAACGGCUCACCUAGGCGACGAUCCCUAGCUGGUCUGAGAGGAUGACCAGCCACACUGGAACUGAGACACGGUCCAGACUCCUACGGGAGGCAGCAGUGGGGAAUAUUGCACAAUGGGCGCAAGCCUGAUGCAGCCAUGCCGCGUGUGUGAAGAAGGCCUUCGGGUUGUAAAGCACUUUCAGCGGGGAGGAAGGCGGUGAGGUUAAUAACCUCACCGAUUGACGUUACCCGCAGAAGAAGCACCGGCUAACUCCGUGCCAGCAGCCGCGGUAAUACGGAGGGUGCAAGCGUUAAUCGGAAUUACUGGGCGUAAAGCGCACGCAGGCGGUCUGUCAAGUCGGAUGUGAAAUCCCCGGGCUCAACCUGGGAACUGCAUUCGAAACUGGCAGGCUAGAGUCUUGUAGAGGGGGGUAGAAUUCCAGGUGUAGCGGUGAAAUGCGUAGAGAUCUGGAGGAAUACCGGUGGCGAAGGCGGCCCCCUGGACAAAGACUGACGCUCAGGUGCGAAAGCGUGGGGAGCAAACAGGAUUAGAUACCCUGGUAGUCCACGCCGUAAACGAUGUCGAUUUGGAGGUUGUGCCCUUGAGGCGUGGCUUCCGGAGCUAACGCGUUAAAUCGACCGCCUGGGGAGUACGGCCGCAAGGUUAAAACUCAAAUGAAUUGACGGGGGCCCGCACAAGCGGUGGAGCAUGUGGUUUAAUUCGAUGCAACGCGAAGAACCUUACCUGGUCUUGACAUCCACAGAACUUUCCAGAGAUGGAUUGGUGCCUUCGGGAACUGUGAGACAGGUGCUGCAUGGCUGUCGUCAGCUCGUGUUGUGAAAUGUUGGGUUAAGUCCCGCAACGAGCGCAACCCUUAUCCUUUGUUGCCAGCGGUCCGGCCGGGAACUCAAAGGAGACUGCCAGUGAUAAACUGGAGGAAGGUGGGGAUGACGUCAAGUCAUCAUGGCCCUUACGACCAGGGCUACACACGUGCUACAAUGGCAUAUACAAAGAGAAGCGACCUCGCGAGAGCAAGCGGACCUCAUAAAGUAUGUCGUAGUCCGGAUUGGAGUCUGCAACUCGACUCCAUGAAGUCGGAAUCGCUAGUAAUCGUAGAUCAGAAUGCUACGGUGAAUACGUUCCCGGGCCUUGUACACACCGCCCGUCACACCAUGGGAGUGGGUUGCAAAAGAAGUAGGUAGCUUAACCUUCGGGAGGGCGCUUACCACUUUGUGAUUCAUGACUGGGGUGAAGUCGUAACAAGGUAACCGUAGGGGAACCUGCGGUUGGAUCACCUCCUUACCUUAAAGAA
Molecule: ribosomal RNA, 1550 nt
Filed under: Klebsiella pneumoniae
Lineage: Bacteria; Pseudomonadati; Pseudomonadota; Gammaproteobacteria; Enterobacterales; Enterobacteriaceae
Description: bacterial SSU rRNA
Rfam family: Bacterial small subunit ribosomal RNA
Source: RNAcentral